This is a signal recognition particle RNA of 349 nucleotides. It matches the Rfam family "Fungal signal recognition particle RNA".
AGCUGUGAUGGUCCAAGUGGGAGACCCGCUGCAUCCGCCGCGUGUCUGUGGCUUUGGGGCCGUCUCGAACCCCGAAACAGCGAGAGGUGCCUGGUUCGAAUCCCCGGGUCGCGGGAGACUCUCGGCCAAUAGAGUCGACGGAGCCGACAAACCGGCUGUGUCGGCCGUUGGAGUGUCUCCUCCCCACACUCGUGCGAGUAAUCCACGAUUGCUGUGGCGCGCUAAGCCCUGGCCUGGACCCUCGAGGGAAGCGAUUCUGCAGAGAACAGGCCCCCCGGAGAUGGCGGCGCCAGACAACACCCCUCGCUGCACAGUGCCCAAGGCGGACUGGCAGGUCGACUUUUUUAUU